UAGGCAGAAGCAAAUCAAGGGCAGGUCUGCUACUUAUAAAAUACCUAAUUCUAGUAGUGUGCUACAUGAGAAAGAAGUCUUUUGCUAACACCACAAGAGUCUCUGGUCCAAUAAGUGGACCAGAAUUGAUAGUAAUUCAUGCUACAAGU
Molecule: small nucleolar RNA, 149 nt
Filed under: Vulpes vulpes (red fox)
Lineage: Eukaryota; Metazoa; Chordata; Mammalia; Carnivora; Canidae
Source: RNAcentral